CCUCCUCUCUGUCUGAAAUCCUGCGUCCUCGCCGCUCCACAGAUUCCUGGCGCGUGCGCACUGCAUUGCCCAUUAUGGGCAGAGGAACAGGGACUUUCAAUGCGCAUGCGCCAGCCUGCGCAACCCGAUCCAGCCGGCGGAGGCACGGGAUUUAAGACGGAGAGGAGUAGGCAACCAGACCACAGAGCCUCUUUCAC
Long non-coding RNA from Bufo bufo (common toad), 197 nucleotides. RefSeq lists it as uncharacterized. The transcript is spliced from 4 exons. NCBI's taxonomy places the organism in Eukaryota, Metazoa, Chordata, Amphibia, Anura, Bufonidae. The record is from RefSeq and is a predicted model, not a curated record.